RNAcentral lists this ribosomal RNA (253 nucleotides) under uncultured bacterium. RNAcentral's name for it is "partial 16S ribosomal RNA". It matches the Rfam family "Bacterial small subunit ribosomal RNA", at positions 524 to 776 of the family's 1533-position model. The record is from RNAcentral.
UACGUAGGGGGCAAGCGUUGUCCGGAAUCAUUGGGCGUAAAGAGCGUGUAGGCGGCUCGAUAAGUCUGCUGUGAAAGUCCAGGGCUCAACCCUGGAAGGCCGGUGGAAACUGUCGGGCUAGAAUCCGGAAGAGGCGAGUGGAAUUCCCGGUGUAGCGGUGAAAUGCGCAGAUAUCGGGAGGAACACCAAUGGCGAAGGCAGCUCGCUGGGACGGUACUGACGCUGAGGCGCGAAAGCGUGGGGAGCAAACAGG